GCUGUGCAGUGGUAUGCACCUGUGGUCCAGCUACUUGGGAAGGAGGCUGAGGCAAGAGGACUGAGCCCAGAAGUUCUGGGCCGUAGUGCACUAUGCCAACUGGGUGUUUGCACUAAGUUCAGAAUCAAUAUGGUGACCUUCUGGGAGCAGGGAACUACCAGGUUGCCUAAGGAGGUGUGAACUGGCCCAGACUAGAAACUGAGCAGGUAAAAACUCCCACGCCAAUCAGUAGUGGGACUGUACACCAGUCUGGGAAACAUAGUGCAACCCCCAUCUCCU
RNAcentral lists this signal recognition particle RNA (279 nucleotides) under Callithrix jacchus (white-tufted-ear marmoset). RNAcentral describes it as "Metazoan signal recognition particle RNA (ENSCJAG00000061115.2)". It matches the Rfam family "Metazoan signal recognition particle RNA". From Rfam's summary of the family: The signal recognition particle (SRP) is a universally conserved ribonucleoprotein. It is involved in the co-translational targeting of proteins to membranes. Lineage: Eukaryota; Metazoa; Chordata; Mammalia; Primates; Cebidae. The record is from Rfam by way of RNAcentral.